RNAcentral lists this transfer RNA (70 nucleotides) under Astyanax mexicanus (Mexican tetra). It matches the Rfam family "tRNA". From Rfam's summary of the family: Transfer RNA (tRNA) molecules are approximately 80 nucleotides in length. The record is from Rfam by way of RNAcentral. Lineage: Eukaryota; Metazoa; Chordata; Actinopteri; Characiformes; Acestrorhamphidae.
GGGCCAGUGGCGCAAUGGAUAAACGCGUCUGACUACGGAUCAGAAGUUCUAGGUUCGAUUCCCUGGCCUG